RNAcentral lists this unclassified non-coding RNA (393 nucleotides) under soil metagenome. RNAcentral describes it as "partial contains 5.8S ribosomal RNA, internal transcribed spacer 2, and large subunit ribosomal RNA". The stretch from base 1 to 120 matches the Rfam family "5.8S ribosomal RNA", at positions 35 to 154 of the family's 154-position model. The record is from RNAcentral.
GAUGAAGAACGCAGUGAAAUGCGAUAAUUAAUGUGAAUUGCAGAAUUCAGUGAAUCAUCGAGUCUUUGAACGCACCUUGCGCUCCUUGGUAUUCCGAGGAGCAUGCCUGUUUGAGUGUCAUUAAAUUCUCAACCUCACCUGGUUUCUGACUUGUGUGAUGGCUUGGAUUUGGGAGUUGUGCAGGCUGUAGUUAUCUGCGGCUCUGCUCUCCUUAAAUGUAUUAGCAGGUCUUUUACCUCUAUCCCAACAGUGUGAUAAUCUAUCUACGCUGCUGGUUUGGAGACCCACUUGUGGGGGACUGGCUUCUAAUCGUCUGCAAAGACAACUUGACAUUCUUGACCUCAAAUCAGGUAGGACUACCCGCUGAACUUAAGCAUAUCAAUAAGCGGAGGA